RNAcentral lists this ribosomal RNA (299 nucleotides) under uncultured bacterium. Its description in RNAcentral is "partial 16S ribosomal RNA". It matches the Rfam family "Bacterial small subunit ribosomal RNA", at positions 475 to 776 of the family's 1533-position model. The record is from RNAcentral.
CUAUGCGCCUUGCCAGCCCGCUCAGGUGUGCCAGCCGCGCGGUAAUACGUAGGUGGCGAGCGUUAUCCGGAAUGAUUGGGCGUAAAAGGGUGCGCAGGCGGUCCUGCAAGUCUGGAGUGAAACGCAUGAGCUCAACUCAUGCAUGGCUUUGGAAACUGGAGGACUGGAGAGCAGGAGAGGGCGGUGGAACUCCAUGUGUAGCGGUAAAAUGCGUAGAUAUAUGGAAGAACACCAGUGGCGAAGGCGGCCGCCUGGCCUGUUGCUGACGCUGAGGCACGAAAGCGUGGGGAGCAAAUAGG